UACAGAGAGUGCAAACGAUGUUCGGAAUUACUGGGCUUAAAGCGCACGUAGGCGGCGCCGCAAGUGUGGGGUGAAAGCCCACGGCUUACCCGUGGAAUUGCCUGGCAGACUGCGGUGCUAGAGGAUGGUAGGGGAGAGCGGAACUCCUGGUGGAGCGGUGAAAUGCGUAGAGAUCAGGAGGAACACCGGUGGCGAAGGCGGCUCUCUGGUCCAUUUCUGACGCUGAGGUGCGAAAGCUAGGGGAGCAAACGGG
Molecule: ribosomal RNA, 253 nt
Filed under: uncultured bacterium
Lineage: Bacteria
Description: partial 16S ribosomal RNA
Rfam family: Bacterial small subunit ribosomal RNA
Source: RNAcentral